ACGAGGGUCUUUAUUUCUCCGUCCCGUGGGCGGAUGGCGAAAAGUUUGAUUUUGCAACAACAAAGAAACUUUUGUUUCCAUAAGUUGCUCUGGGAGGAAGAGAGAGAGAGACGCGAGAUAGAGACGUCGAAGAGUUAGAUGAUUGUGAUCAUCCUGGUGGAAAUAUUCAUAACAAGACGUUCCUAACAGUUCUUGAGAGAAAACAUUCUACCUGCUCUGGAGAUCAUCGCCCUCAGUGUCACAGGUAUAUCUAGGGAAAGAGAAUUUAAAUUCAUCAGAAGAACGAAAAAUCAGUACAACUGAAAAUAAAUCAUGAUUUGAAGAUGAAGGAUCUUGCAGAGGUGACUAAACUCCUUAGAGACAAUACAAGGUAGAUUCGCGUGAUUGAGAUGAACUAGAAAGCAGGAAAUAAAAGCCAGCUGAUGGUCGGAGCUACCGGUUCACCCGAACCAAUCCGAACCAGAUGAAUUCCACCUCUGAUUGCAGUGUCCCAGCGUCGCUUGAUCCCGUUUUGCGACCUUCUGACCAGCAAAAUCAACGAGGGAGCCAGAUUCAUUUAACAACCGUGCUACUCACUUACCCACCGCAGUGAUUCACUUAACAACCGUGGAAAGUAAGGUCGUAAAACGGGGCAAAACUCACUUAGCAAAUGUCUCGCUUAGCCACAUAAAUUUUGGGCUCACUUGUGGCCGUACAAGUGAGGGCUACCUGUAACGCAAAGCACGUUUCCUUCGGAGAUGGAGUUUAUUUCAUAAACUCAAAAAUAAAAUUGACCAUGGGGCUAUGAAAAAGAGCAAGAUCCCAAUCCUCUAGCAGAAGAGCCACAUGCGGCUCCAGAGCCACAGGUUGCUGAUCCCUGCCCUAAACCAUUCCAGACAAUCAUAUAACAGAUUCUUCCAGGAAGUUUAAAGGUCUAGAUGUGAAACAUCUGUUUUUCCGCCUCUGGAUUCCUUUCCUGCCCUUUCUCCUUCCCUAUCACACACACACACACACUUUGAAGGGGCGGAGUGCAGUUAGGUUAGUGUUGUGGCCCGCCAGCAGCCUACGC
Long non-coding RNA from Pantherophis guttatus, 1048 nucleotides. RefSeq lists it as uncharacterized. NCBI's taxonomy places the organism in Eukaryota, Metazoa, Chordata, Lepidosauria, Squamata, Colubridae. The record is from RefSeq and is a predicted model, not a curated record.